GACACGACCGUACCGCAAACCGACACUGGUGCGCGAGAUGAGUAUUCUAAGGCGCUUGAGAGAACUCAGGAGAAGGAACUCGGCAAAUUGACACCGUAACUUCGGAAGAAGGUGUGCCUUUAGUAGGUGAACCAUUUACUUGGGGAGCCCAAUGAGGCUGCAAAAAAUCGGUGGCUGCAACUGUUUAUUAAAAACACAGCACUCUGCUAAGACGAAAGUCGACGUAUAGGGUGUGACGCCUGCCCGGUGCUGGAAGAUUAAAUGAUGGGGUGCAAGCUCUUGAUUGAAGUCCCAGUAAACGGCGGCCGUAACAAUAACGGUCCUAAGGUAGCGAAAUUCCUUGUCGGGUAAGUUCCGACCUGCACGAAUGGCGUAAUGAUGGCCACACUGUCUCCUCCUGAGACUCAGCGAAGUUGAAAUGUUUGUGAUGAUGCAAUCUCCCCGCGGAAAGACGGAAAGACCCCAUGAACCUUUACUGUAGCUUUGUAUUGGACUUUGAACAGAUCUGUGUAGGAUAGGUGGGAGACUUUGAAGUGUGGUCGCUAGAUCGCAUGGAGCCAACGUUGAAAUACCACCCUGGUGUGUUUGAGGUUCUAACCUAGGUCCAUUAUCUGGAUCGGGGACAGUGCAUGGUAGGCAGUUUGACUGGGGCGGUCUCCUCCCAAAGUGUAACGGAGGAGUUCGAAGGUACGCUAGGUACGGUCGGACAUCGUGCUAAUAGUGCAAUGGCAUAAGCGUGCUUAACUGCGAGACUGACAAGUCGAGCAGAUGCGAAAGCAGGACAUAGUGAUCCGGUGGUUCUGUAUGGAAGGGCCAUCGCUCAACGGAUAAAAGGUACUCUGGGGAUAACAGGCUGAUACCGCCCAAGAGUUCAUAUCGACGGCGGUGUUUGGCACCUCGAUGUCGGCUCAUCUCAUCCUGGGGCUGUAGCCGGUCCCAAGGGUAUGGCUGUUCGCCAUUUAAAGAGGUACGUGAGCUGGGUUUAAAACGUCGUGAGACAGUUUGGUCCCUAUCUUCCGUGGGCGCUGCAGAUUUGAGGAAGCCUGCUCCUAGUACGAGAGGACCGGAGUGGACGAACCUCUGGUGUAUCGGUUGUCACGCCAGUGGCAUUGCCGAGUAGCUAAGUUCGGAAGAGAUAACCGCUGAAAGCAUCUAAGCGGGAAACUCGUUUCAAGAUUAGAUCUGCCGGGGCCUUGAGCCCCCUAAAGAGUCGUUCAAGACCAGGACGUUGAUAGGUCAGGUGUGGAAGCCA
Molecule: ribosomal RNA, 1252 nt
Filed under: metagenome
Description: bacterial LSU rRNA
Rfam family: Bacterial large subunit ribosomal RNA
Source: RNAcentral